GCACCCAUAGCUCAGCUGGAUAGAGCGUUGCCCUCCGAAGGCAGAGGCCAGAGGUUCGAAUCCUCUUGGGUGCGCCA
This 77-nucleotide transfer RNA is filed under the name Parvularculaceae bacterium. RNAcentral describes it as "tRNA-Arg". It matches the Rfam family "tRNA". Rfam says of the family: Transfer RNA (tRNA) molecules are approximately 80 nucleotides in length. Lineage: Bacteria; Pseudomonadati; Pseudomonadota; Alphaproteobacteria; Parvularculales; Parvularculaceae. The record is from RNAcentral.